CCUACGGGAGGCUGCAGUGGGGAAUAUUGGACAAUGGGCGAAAGCCUGAUCCAGCCAUGCCGCGUGUGUGAAGAAGGCCUUCGGGUUGUAAAGCACUUUCAGUGGGGAAGAAAGCCUUGGGGCUAAUACCCUCGAGGAAGGACAUCACCCACAGAAGAAGCACCGGCUAACUCCGUGCCAGCAGCCGCGGUAAUACGGAGGGUGCGAGCGUUAAUCGGAAUUACUGGGCGUAAAGCGCGCGUAGGCGGUCUGAUAAGCCGGUUGUGAAAGCCCCGGGCUCAACCUGGGAACGGCAUCCGGAACUGUCAGGCUAGAGUGCAGGAGAGGAAGGUAGAAUUCCCUGUGUAGCGGUGAAAUGCGUAGAGAUCGGGAGGAAUACCAGUGGCGAAGGCGGCCUUCUGGACUGACACUGACGCUGAGGUGCGAAAGCGUGGGUAGCAAACAGGAUUAGAUACCCUAGUAGUC
This 465-nucleotide ribosomal RNA is filed under the name Vreelandella stevensii. RNAcentral's name for it is "partial 16S ribosomal RNA". It matches the Rfam family "Bacterial small subunit ribosomal RNA", at positions 338 to 795 of the family's 1533-position model. Lineage: Bacteria; Pseudomonadati; Pseudomonadota; Gammaproteobacteria; Oceanospirillales; Halomonadaceae. The record is from RNAcentral.